This 20-nucleotide small nuclear RNA is filed under the name Arabidopsis thaliana (thale cress). Its description in RNAcentral is "snRNA_00193". The record is from RNAcentral. Lineage: Eukaryota; Viridiplantae; Streptophyta; Magnoliopsida; Brassicales; Brassicaceae.
AUCAAGACUCCGUCAGGUCU